This is an RNA transcript of Syngnathoides biaculeatus (alligator pipefish), 1906 nucleotides long. It is a transcript of the gene named GTP binding protein 8 (putative), with no coding region annotated. The transcript is spliced from 9 exons. The record is from RefSeq and is a predicted model, not a curated record. Lineage: Eukaryota; Metazoa; Chordata; Actinopteri; Syngnathiformes; Syngnathidae.
CCUGAAUUGGCUGAUGUUUCAGACGGCUUUAUUUGAGCUGCACUAACACAGGAUACGUCCUUCGGUUGCAAUGGCAGAUAAAGCGCUUUUUUAAUGUGACUACAGUGUUUUUAUUUCUGGAAUAUACUUUAAACCAUGCAGUCAUAAUACGGACCUUUUCUAUGGGAAGAUGUUUUGUCUGCGACUUCAACCGUGGCUUCAACCUAGGACUCAGCUGUCUGCUUUCCGUGUACAGAGAGUUCACAAGUUUGCUUCGCUGCAAGAGACCAGAGUUCGAGCCCCCAACAAAGUCAAAUGCUUACUUUACCCUUUGACUGAUCUAGAGGCUUACCUAGACAGCUCUGUGGAUCGGACACAGUUCCAUCUCUUUCAUCCCUGUGUUGAUGAUGUUCUAAAAGCCGAGGGACUCUUCUGCUCCUCGCCAUCUCAUAAGAUUGAUUAUUAUAUAUCAGCAGAGAGGAUGGACCACACACCUGCAUUGAAGCAACCAGAGGUGUGUUUCAUUGGCCGAAGCAAUGUGGGAAAGUCAUCUCUAAUCAAGUCUCUGUUUUCUCUCAGUCCUAAUGUGGAAGUCAGAAUCUCCAAAACCCCUGGUCACACCAAAAAGAUGAACUUCUUCAGAGUGGGUAGAGCUUUCACCAUUGUAGACAUGCCAGGUUAUGGACAUAGAGCACCCAAAGGUUUUGUGGAUAUGGUUGAACCAUAUCUCUUCUCAAGAAAGAAUCUUGUCAGGACAUUCUUGUUGGUGGAUGGCAGUGUUGGACUGCAGAAGACUGACUACAUCGCCCUUGAGAUGUGUGAGGAAACGAGAUGUCCAUAUGUGAUGGUGAUAACUAAGAUUGAUAAAUGUGGUCAUGGCCCACUACUGAGAAACAUAUUGACUUUUCAAGAUGUGAUUAAAACACAGACCAACAGCUGUUUCCCCCAGCCAUUUUUGGUCAGGCUAAGAAGCCCACCUGAUCAAUUGAGGACUGGACCGGGCCCAGGAGUCCUGCCAAGAGCAACCCAGUGGGACAGGACAUGUUCUAUUCUGAGGGACCCAAUGUGGUCCGCCAGCCCCUCCGAUGCUCCCCAACAGCUGCCAACCCAGCUGUGCCCGCCGAGACCCAAUGCUAGCGCAUAGGAGCAGGGCGCAAAUACCAGGAAAUGGCACAGACAUGCUAAAACCCAGUCCCCCAGAAACCGUUUGACAUGGGUAUGUCCUCAAAUGUCAAGCCCAUCAGGCCAGACAACUCCUGCUUAAGUGGGCUGCCACAUCCAGACCUGCGGCAACAACCACAUGACUCCCCCGUGAGCACCUACUACCCGCCCAUGAGUGUAGGAGGUGGAACACCCCCCGGCCCCUAACCAGGAAGGGCCCAAAAAAAAAACAGCAGGCCUCACAGCCUGCAGGAGACCACCGCCCCCACAGGAAGAGGGCGAGCACAGCGGGACAGAAGGAACAAAGAGAAGAGGAAGCUGGCUCAAGGAAUGACAAAGGGGUUCCACUGCUCCCAACCAACAGCCAGAGCGGGGACCCAUGCGGGCGCCACCACGGCACCCAUGGAACAUGGACAAGUCACGAUCACACAACCAAUACUCUCUGUGAGGUCACCCCCAUGGUUAUGCACCCCCCAUCUCCAAGAUCGGGAAUGAGUAGAAAAAAGUCUUACCCCCACAGAAGUUGAAACCGCAAACACAGCAACGAGAAGAAAAUCCCCAUUCCAUGCAUGUGUCAUCUAACAAUGCAAACCAAUUUAAAAUGUGUGGGAAAAUAAAAAUAAAAAAAACAAACAAACAAAAAACUAAUGGAAUAAUUAUUCCAACAAUAACCUUGACAAAGAAUAUAGAAGUCAAACGUUUUUCACACUUAGGAACGUAUUCUUGGUAUUGUCAGAAGGCACCCUACCCAGGCAAAGAAAUCAAG